Molecule: microRNA, 21 nt
Filed under: Brachypodium distachyon (stiff brome)
Lineage: Eukaryota; Viridiplantae; Streptophyta; Magnoliopsida; Poales; Poaceae
Description: bdi-miR5176-3p
Source: miRBase by way of RNAcentral
UGUGAUGAUGUGGCAUAGAAU